Long non-coding RNA from Astyanax mexicanus (Mexican tetra), 295 nucleotides. RefSeq lists it as uncharacterized. The record is from RefSeq and is a predicted model, not a curated record. The transcript is spliced from 3 exons. NCBI's taxonomy places the organism in Eukaryota, Metazoa, Chordata, Actinopteri, Characiformes, Acestrorhamphidae.
GCAUUGGUCAGGCGUGGUGUUAUAGGAGCGUUCGUCAGGUGUGGUGUUAGGAGAGCGUUGGUCAGGCGUGGUGUUAUAGGAGCGUUGGUCAGGCGUGGUGUUAUAGGAGCGUUGGUCAGGCGUGGUGUUAGGGGAGCGUUGGUCAAUGUGUGUGUGUUAGGGGAGCGUUGGUCAGGCGUGGUGUUAUAGGAGCGUUGGUCAGGCGUGGUGUUAGGAGAGCGUUGGUCAAUCGGGUGAGGUGCUAGGGAAGAGUGGGUCAAUGCGUUGUAGAAGAUGCUGUAGAGCUCCUAAAAAG